RNAcentral lists this ribosomal RNA (394 nucleotides) under uncultured bacterium. Its description in RNAcentral is "partial 16S ribosomal RNA". It matches the Rfam family "Bacterial small subunit ribosomal RNA", at positions 338 to 729 of the family's 1533-position model. The record is from RNAcentral.
CCUACGGGGGGCUGCAGUGAGGAAUAUUGGUCAAUGGUCGCGAGCCUGAACCAGCCAAGCAGCGUGAAGGAUGAAUGUACUAAGGGUUGUAAACUUCUUUUAUCAAGGAAUAAAGUGAGGCACGUGUGCCUUUUUGUAUGUACUUUAUGAAUAAGCAUCGGCUAACUCCGUGCCAGCAGCCGCGGUAAUACGGAGGAUCCGAGCGUUAUCCGGAUUUAUUGGGUUUAAAGGGAGCGUAGAUGGGUUGUUAAGUCAGUUGUGAAAGUUUGCGGCUCAACCGGAAAAUUGCAGUUGAUACUGGCAGUCUUGAGUACAGUUGAGGUAGGCGGAAUGCGUGGUGUAGCGGUGAAAUGCUUAGAUAUCACGAAGAACUCCGAUUGCGAAGGCAGCUUGC